UAGCGUAGACAGCAAGCGUUGUUCGGAGUUACUGGGCGUAAAGGGUGCGUAGGCGGCUUUUUAAGUUUGGUGUGAAAUCUCCCGGCUCAACUGGGAGGGUGCGCCGAAUACUGAGAGGCUAGAGUGGCGGGAGAGGAAAGUGGAAUUCCUGGUGUAGCGGUGAAAUGCGCAGAUAUCAGGAGGAACACCGGUGGCGAAGGCGGUUCUCUGGGCAUGUCCUGACGUGAGGAGCGAAAGUGUGGGGAGGCGAAACAGG
Molecule: ribosomal RNA, 256 nt
Filed under: uncultured bacterium
Lineage: Bacteria
Description: partial 16S ribosomal RNA
Rfam family: Bacterial small subunit ribosomal RNA
Source: RNAcentral